GUAGCUAAGUGAUGGGGUGACGCAGUGAGGUAGCAUGAGCCACUUAUUGGAUUGUGGUGUAAGCGUGUGGAACGAGGUAUUGGUAAAUCCGUACCUUUUAUGUUCGAGGCGUGAUGCGUAGCCCGUAAAGGGUGAAUUCUGUGAUCCUGUACUGUCGAGAAAAGCCUCUAGCGAUGUGCAUAUUCGGCCCGUACCCUAAACCGACACAGGUAGUCAGGUAGAGAAUACUAAGGCGUUCGGGUGAACUGUGGUUAAGGAACUCGGCAAAAUGCCCCCGUAACUUCGGGAGAAGGGGGGCCUACACUGGUGAUUCACUUUGCGUGUUUGAGCUGGUGUGGGUCGCAGAGAAUAGAGG
This 355-nucleotide ribosomal RNA is filed under the name Thalassiosira gravida. Its description in RNAcentral is "partial Bacterial large subunit ribosomal RNA". It matches the Rfam family "Bacterial large subunit ribosomal RNA", at positions 1453 to 1792 of the family's 2925-position model. Lineage: Eukaryota; Bacillariophyta; Thalassiosirophyceae; Thalassiosirales; Thalassiosiraceae. The record is from RNAcentral.